UACGUAGGUCCCGAGCGUUGUCCGGAUUUAUUGGGCGUAAAGCGAGCGCAGGUGGUUUAUUAAGUCUGGUGUAAAAGGCAGUGGCUCAACCAUUGUAUGCAUUGGAAACUGGUAGACUUGAGUGCAGGAGAGGAGAGUGGAAUUCCAUGUGUAGCGGUGAAAUGCGUAGAUAUAUGGAGGAACACCGGUGGCGGAAGCGGCUUUCUGGCCUGUAACUGACACUGAGGCUCGAAAGCGUGGGGAGCAAACAGG
This 252-nucleotide ribosomal RNA is filed under the name uncultured bacterium. Its description in RNAcentral is "partial 16S ribosomal RNA". It matches the Rfam family "Bacterial small subunit ribosomal RNA", at positions 524 to 776 of the family's 1533-position model. The record is from RNAcentral.